UUUCUUUCCUUUUUAUUUUUCUGUUGUUCCAAACAAGUGAAGUUCAAUGUUUCCAUCAUGUUUCCCUCCCUUCAGUUUCUUUCCUCUAUCUAUCUUUUGAAAGAAACACAGUUGAGAAAAAGUUAUGAAAGUUACCAACAGCCAAUCCGCGGGGCAGUAAAAGCAUGCAUGAUUUUGUUAACUGCAGUGAAGCAUGGUCCUCGUUCUUACUGUAAAACCCCCAUUUGUUGUUUUCCGCAUUGCCACAUCUGGGUUUUACCAAUCACAAUGAUUUCCUCAAAUUCUCAGGUUUUGGAAGAAGAAACUCUGGGUAAAUGGAAUGUUUGA
Molecule: non-coding RNA, 327 nt
Organism: Vicia faba (fava bean)
Lineage: Eukaryota; Viridiplantae; Streptophyta; Magnoliopsida; Fabales; Fabaceae
Source: the annotation of a GenBank genome assembly